AUUGAACGCUAGCGGCAGGCUUUACACAUGCAAGUCGAACGAGUGGCGGACGGGUGAGUAAUGUCUGGGAACCUGCCUGAUGGAGGGGGAUAACUACUGGAAAUGGUAGCUAAUACCGCAUACUAUCAGAUGUGCCCAGAUGGGAUUAGCUUGUUGGUGGGGUAACGGCUCACCAAGGCGACGAUCCCUAGCUGGUCUGAGAGGAUGACCAGCCACACUGGAACUGAGACACGGUCCAGACUCCUACGGUAGGCAGCAGUGGGGAAUAUUGCACAAUGGGGGAAAGCCUGAUCCAGCCAUGCCGCGUGUAUGAAGAAGGCCUUCGGGUUGUAAAGUACUUUCGGCAGGGAGGCGUUACCCGCAGAAGAAGCACCGGCUAACUCCGUGCCAGCAGCCGCGGUAAUUC
RNAcentral lists this ribosomal RNA (406 nucleotides) under uncultured bacterium. Its description in RNAcentral is "partial 16S ribosomal RNA". It matches the Rfam family "Bacterial small subunit ribosomal RNA", at positions 30 to 526 of the family's 1533-position model. The record is from RNAcentral.